Kogia breviceps (pygmy sperm whale) is the source of this 1955-nucleotide non-coding RNA. The record is from RefSeq and is a predicted model, not a curated record. NCBI's taxonomy places the organism in Eukaryota, Metazoa, Chordata, Mammalia, Artiodactyla, Physeteridae.
ACACAAAUACAAACAUAGAUAGUUACCAACCAUGAUUAGCUAUGAAGAAAAAAGCAACACACAUACUUAAAGAGAGUAACAGGGCAGACUGAUGUACACUGGGGGAUCUCUGAGAUGUUUAGCUGAGAUUUAAAGGACAAAUUCAAGUUAGCUGAGGAAAGAGGGAGAGAGAGUUUUGCAAACAGAGGGAACAGCACACAUACUUGCAAGCUCAGGGGCAGUAGAGAGUGCUAGUUAUUUAUAAAGUCAGUGAAGCUGAAGCCCAGCAUGUGGCAGAAAGAUGCGCCUGGAGAGGUGGGCAGGGGCCAGACCACCACACACCUUCUAGGCAUCUUAAGGAUUUUGGAUCCUAUCCUAAGGGCAAUGAGAAACCACUGGGAUUUGAGCUAGGAGAUCUAGCUAGGAUCCAGUUCACACCUAAAGAAAAUCACCCUUGUUGCUGUGUGGAGAGUGGAAGACUGGGAAGAAGAGUGAAGGCCAAGAGACCAGUUAGAAAGUAGUCUAUACAAAAUAAGAGAGUGGUUCAUGCUCGGAUGGUGUCAACAGAAAGAAUUGGGGGGGCGGGGUGGAGACAGAGAGAUGGAUGGAUUCAGCAUCUAUAUUUAGGGUGGAUUAGAAGUAGGGAGUGAGGGAAAGGACAGGAUGUAUCAGGAUGGCUGCCAGGUUUCUACAAUGAACUUCUGGGUAGUCACGGGUGCCCUUUAUUGAAAUGGAGAAGGCCAGAGGUGGAAGAGAUUUAAAAGAGAGAAGAGGGAAUGAAGGGUUCAUUUUUUAAUAUGUUUAAUUUGUGCUGUCUAUGAGGAUAUCCAAGGGGAUUUAUCAAGAAGGCAGUUAAAUAUACACAGAUUGAGGGCACAGAGACAGGGGUUUUAAAGGAACUUCCUGUACUUGACUGUACUCCUUUAAAGUUUUAAAAAGUAUCUUCCUUUGGCAUCUGAUCUUACUAAAGCUUCUUUCACAAUGUUGUGGAUAAAAGUACAGCAGUAACGGAGUACCUAACUUUACUUCACAGCCAGAAAGAGUUCAAGAUACUUUAGGAACCUUACUGCCUUUGGUGAUUCUGACUUUUCCCACUUACACAGCAAGUCAGGGGCAACUGGUCCUGGGCUAUCUCAUCCUUCCCUUCAUCGGGACAGUAUGGAAUGUGAAAUCCAUCACCAAGAGGCCCACCUGAAAAUGUGCUACAUAUCAGUACAAUUCCAACUCCGUGGAAAAAGAGACCACCCUGGCCAAUUUUUUUAAGUUUUGUUUUGUUGUUUUAAAUUGUCGACCACAUCCUGAAUUGAGAGCAGAUACUCUGGGGAUUCAGUAGAAAACAGAGCAUUUCUUUCUGAACCUGGCCUCACAAAGAACCUCCAUGAAAAAGGUGCCCUCCUCGGCCUAACCCCACAAUCCACCCACCAGUUCACUUGGUCCUACUCGGCAGUCCGGUGGACGCGGCGGGCAGGAACCCAGCCUCUAGGAGGAGCGCAGGAGGAGGCUCCCGCCUGCCGGCCGCCAGUUUGUCAAGCUUCAGAAAGAGUCCUGAGUCGCCACUAUGACAGAGCACUAGAGAGGGAGUGAUGGAUGCCAGCUUCCGUAGGAACAACGAGAGUGACCAAAACUGCUGUCAGACUACUAGGACUGCUGGGUCCUGAAGAACUUUCUGGGUGACCUGAGGACUGAUGACUUGUUUCCCAUUUUCCCCCCUCCUCAGACAUCUAUUUGACCUACUCCUGCCACAGAGGGAAACCUGAGCAUGCCCCCAGUUCUCACAGCCUGAUGGAGCACAAGGACCACACCCCUCUUCUGUCCCUCCUCAGUAAGCAGGAGGUCCACCUCACUACUCUUCAGCCCACGUUCUAUAUUCCUAUGCCUUUUCCCUUUGCUCAUUUCAACUAGGAGGUAAAUCACCAUAAUGCAUCUUUUCAAAAUUUGCAUUUCUUUCAUUAUUAUGAGAUUGAAUAAUACACUGA